This is a non-coding RNA of Methanobacterium sp. A39, 299 nucleotides long. It matches the Rfam family "Archaeal RNase P". Rfam says of the family: Ribonuclease P (RNase P) is a ubiquitous endoribonuclease, found in archaea, bacteria and eukarya as well as chloroplasts and mitochondria. Its best characterised activity is the generation of mature 5'-ends of tRNAs by cleaving the 5'-leader elements of precursor-tRNAs. NCBI's taxonomy places the organism in Archaea, Methanobacteriati, Methanobacteriota, Methanobacteria, Methanobacteriales, Methanobacteriaceae. The record is from Rfam.
GUAAGCCGAAGAGCAGCUACCGGUUUCUUGCAACUUGCAAGUUAAACUGAGGAAACUCCAUCCAUCAUACAGAACCAUGGUGUCGCGAGGCACAUGCUGAGAAGCAUGACUCUGGAGCAGAAACGAGACGUCUUUUGAUAGAUGAACAUGAUGCCUAAGCUGAUGAUAUCAAAAGGAACGGUGAAACGGCCAUUUCGUGGGAUGUAAGGGCAAAUACUGUCGAUGAAUCCUGUAUGAGGCAGAGGUAGCUCGCAUAGAUGAAUGCUGCUAAAACAGGAGGUGGGUUACUCUCGGCAUAC